RNAcentral lists this ribosomal RNA (402 nucleotides) under uncultured bacterium. RNAcentral describes it as "bacterial SSU rRNA". It matches the Rfam family "Bacterial small subunit ribosomal RNA", at positions 355 to 774 of the family's 1533-position model. The record is from RNAcentral.
UCGGGAAUUUUGGGCAAUGGGCGAAAGCCUGACCCAGCAACGCCGCGUGAGGGAUGAAGUAUUUCGGUAUGUAAACCUCGAAAGAAUGGGAAGAAUAAAUGACGGUACCAUUUAUAAGCUCCGGCUAACUACGUGCCAGCAGCCGCGGUAAUACGUAGGGAGCUAGCGUUGUUCGGAUUUACUGGGCGUAAAGGGCGCGUAGGCGGCGCGGUAAGUCACUUGUGAAAUCUCUGAGCUUAACUCAGAACGGCCAAGUGAUACUGCUGUGCUAGAGUGCGGAAGAGGCAACCGGAAUUCUUGGUGUGGCGGUGAAAUGCGUAGAUAUCAAGAGGAACACCUGAGGCGAAGGCGGGUUGCUGGGCCGACACUGACGCUGAUGCGCGAAAGCCAGGGGAGCAAACG